Molecule: ribosomal RNA, 497 nt
Filed under: uncultured bacterium
Lineage: Bacteria
Description: partial 16S ribosomal RNA
Rfam family: Bacterial small subunit ribosomal RNA
Source: RNAcentral
GAUGAACGCUGGCGGCGUGCCUAAUACAUGCAAGUCGAGCGAACGGACGAGAAGCUUGCUUCUCUGAUGUUAGCGGCGGACGGGUGAGUAACACGUGGAUAACCUACCUAUAAGACUGGGAUAACUUCGGGAAACCGGAGCUAAUACCGGAUAAUAUUUUGAACCGCAUGGUUCAAAAGUGAAAGACGGUCUUGCUGUCACUUAUAGAUGGAUCCGCGCUGCAUUAGCUAGUUGGUAAGGUAACGGCUUACCAAGGCAACGAUGCAUAGCCGACCUGAGAGGGGGGAUCGCCAACCGUGGACUGGAACACGGGACCGGCCCCCGAGGGGGGGCAGAAGGGGGGAUUCUUCCGAAAGGGGCGAAAGCCUGACGGAGCAACGCGGGGGGGGUGAAGAAGUGUUUGGGAUGGGAAAACGUUUUUUUUGGGGAAAAAAAAAUGUGUAAGGAACUGUGCCCUCUUGAAGGGUACCAAAACAGAAGGCCCGGGCAAAUUACGG